Xiphophorus hellerii (green swordtail) is the source of this 264-nucleotide long non-coding RNA. RefSeq lists it as uncharacterized. The record is from RefSeq and is a predicted model, not a curated record. NCBI's taxonomy places the organism in Eukaryota, Metazoa, Chordata, Actinopteri, Cyprinodontiformes, Poeciliidae. The transcript is spliced from 3 exons.
UUUAUAUAACUUUUGCUGUUGUCCUGGCUGUGAGCACAUUCACAGACUUUUAUCCAAAAGAUGUUGUGGCAAAAAACGAUAAACUCAGCCAUAUGUCACCAUCAAAAGUGAUGGAACAGCAGAAGUUUAUGGAAAAGGUGAAACAAGAACCCAAACCAGAACCUGAAGAGGUAAACCAAGAAGAUCUCAGCCCUUUGUCAUCAUCAUCAGAGGUGGAACAGCUGGAGGAUAUUGAAAAGGUGAAACAAGAACCUAAACCAGAAC